UUUAAUGGUUCUUAAGUUAUAUUACAGCGCCAUAGACAAUGAUAUGGACAGGAAUCAUUAGAUGAUGAGAUUCCAGAACCUGCACGGGACCAGAUUCUACUUGCCGCUGGGUUUGGAUGAGAUGUGUAGGUACACUCAUAUGGUUGAUGGAAAGCCAUUCACUGAUGACACCCUGGGGCCAGGUGUGGUAGAUUUACCUGGUUCAGAGUUUGCACUGCUAUAAACCUUGGAACCACCAUCUUUGCUGAGCUUUUACACACUGAAUAGAAGCUGUGAAAAAUAGUUCCGGAAAAAGCCAGCGAAAAUCUGCCUCGGGAUGCAGAAAUCUAGCUACAGCAUAAUGUCGUCCAACAGAAAGAUCUUUGGUCGUGGAGGGAAAAAAGGUGGACAACUGCCCAGAGAAUCAGAGAAACUGCCUUGUUUAACCUUAGACUAAUAUGGUGGACGGAAGCGGAUUUCUGGCUUUGGAGUCUUUCUUGUCUUUUUUGACCUUGGGCAAAAAAUGAAUCUCCUGUCAGAUGCAUUAGCAAGGCAUAAAAGAUUCGGUGUAAAAAGCUACGCCAAUUAAGUUGACAUUAUUAAUAAGGUCAUUUCUUUUGACAUGUAAACUGUUUUAGUCGACAGCUCGGGUGAGAAAAGUAAUGGUUUUACAGUUUUAUGAUCACAGACGGUCUCAAAGAUAUUCAUUAAUUUCAAUUAUUGUCAAUUUAGUAAGAGCGUAACACAAUAAAAUCUCUAUUUGGAUUGUGAAGAUCGUAGAUAAAAUUAUUGAAAGUUGUAAGACAAAAUAAAAAGAAUCAAAACUG
Molecule: long non-coding RNA, 806 nt
Organism: Saccostrea cuccullata (small rock oyster)
Lineage: Eukaryota; Metazoa; Mollusca; Bivalvia; Ostreida; Ostreidae
Exons: 4
Source: RefSeq, a predicted model, not a curated record